Molecule: ribosomal RNA, 497 nt
Filed under: uncultured bacterium
Lineage: Bacteria
Description: partial 16S ribosomal RNA
Rfam family: Bacterial small subunit ribosomal RNA
Source: RNAcentral
GAUGAACGCUGGCGGCGUGCCUAACACAUGCAAGUCGAGCGAACAGACGAGGAGCGCGCUCCUCUGACGUUAGCGACGGAUGGGUGAGUAAUACGUGGAUAACCUACCUAUAAGACUGGGAUAACUUCGGGAAACCGGAGCUAAUACCGGAUAAUAUAUUGAACCGCAUGGUUCAAUAGUGAAAGAGGGUUUUGCUGACACUUAUAGAUGGAUCCGCGUCGCAUUAGCUAGUUGGUAAGGUAACGGCUUACCAAGGCAACGAUGCGUAGCCGACCUGAGAGGGUGAUGCGCCACACUGGAACUGAGACACGGUCCAGACUCCUACGGGAGGCAGCAGUAGGGAAUCUUCGGAGAUGGGCGAAAGCCUGACGGAGCAACGCCGCGUGAGUGAUGAAGGUCUUCGGAUCGUAAAACUCUGUUAUUAGGGAAGAACAAAUGUGUAAGUAACUAUGCACGUCUUGACGGUACCUAAUCAAAAAGCCACGGCUAACUACGUG